This 497-nucleotide ribosomal RNA is filed under the name uncultured bacterium. Its description in RNAcentral is "partial 16S ribosomal RNA". It matches the Rfam family "Bacterial small subunit ribosomal RNA", at positions 28 to 507 of the family's 1533-position model. The record is from RNAcentral.
GAUGAACGCUGGCGGCGUGCCUAACACAUGCAAGUCGAGCGAACAGACGCGGCUUUUGCUUGGCUGCCGUGAGCGGCGGACGGGUGAGUAACACGUGUCUACCUUACAUUUAAGGCUGAGAUCACUACGGGAAACCGGAUCUAACACCGGAUAAGAUAGUGAACCGGAUGGUUCAUUAGAGAAAGACGGUUUUGCUGUCACUUAUAGAUGGUUCCGAGCUGCAUUAGUGAGUUGGUAGGAUAACGGCUUACCAAGGCUACGAUGCGUGGCCGACCUGAGAGGAUGAUCGGCCACACUGGAACUGAGACACGGUCCAGACUCCUACGGGAGGCAGCAGUAGGGAAUCUUCCGCAAUGGGCGAAAGCCUGACGCAGCAACGCCGCGUGUGUGAUGAAGGUCUUCGGAUCGUAAAGCUCUGUUAGUAGGGAAGAACGGAUGUGAAAGUAACUAUGGACGUCUUGACGGUACCUAAUGAAAAAGCAACGGCUAACUACGUG